GAGAUGUAGCUCAGUGGCAGAACUCUUGCCUAAUAUGUAUGAGGUCCUGGGUUCAAUCCCCAGUAUUGGGCA
Molecule: transfer RNA, 72 nt
Filed under: Marmota monax (woodchuck)
Lineage: Eukaryota; Metazoa; Chordata; Mammalia; Rodentia; Sciuridae
Description: tRNA.Ile
Rfam family: tRNA (bases 4-66)
About the family: Transfer RNA (tRNA) molecules are approximately 80 nucleotides in length. Their secondary structure includes four short double-helical elements and three loops (D, anti-codon, and T loops).
Source: RNAcentral